UCUGCAGCAGGAGCCAGCGCCCACGACGAGAGCACAGCUGCGCAUCCCAGUAGCAGGCAAGAUGGUGAUGCGUGACCUUGGCCAGGCGCACAGUGCGGGUCAAACGUGAGUCUGGCAUUGCUGUGCAGGCACUUGGUGGACGUGGUUAACCUUUACCAUUUGUAAUCAGUGGACCUGAGUAGAGCGGACGAGCCUCCACGAUGCGGGGCCUCCCCCGCGCGGUGGAAGUCGUAAGAGCAAAGACUGAGGCAGUCCAGAGAAGCAGCAACUCGGCCUCAGGACGGCAGUGUGGAAAUUCUGCCUCAGUUUCCAGCCUGUGGCCUGCCCUAGACGUGUCAGACCUGCCAGCCCCACAGUCCCGUGAACCACUUCCCAUAGCCUGUUGGUUCUGCUUCUCCGGAGAACCACGUUUUAAUGCGUUCAGGCUGCUGUAACAAAAAAGACAGACUGGGUGACUUGUAAACAAUAGACGUUGAUUUCCCGAGUUCUGGAGGCUGGCAGCCCAAGAUCAGGGUGCCAGCUUGGUCCGGGUCUGGCGAGAGCCUCUAUCUGACUUGCAGAGGGUGACACAGCUCCUGCGGGUUUCUCUUGGGGCGCUUGCCCUGGGAGCCUUCAGCAGCCGUGUAAGAAGUUCUGCGGCCCUGAGGCCAGCACGUGCAGAAGCCAUGUAGAGGGAGAGACGCUCACGGAGCCCAGGGGUGGGUCUUCCCAGCCAGGUGCCAAGUAUGAGAUGAAGGGGCCUUUGAGAUGACCCUGACCACACACGCUGUGUGACAGCCACUGCAUGAGAGACCCCACCAAGAGCGGCCCUACGGAACCAGCCAACCCCAGACGCAUGGGCCACGUGGAGUGGAGAGCCUAGAAAGAUCUGUUGCAGGCACAAUGCUGUUCUCUGGAUGUUCGUCUUCCCACAGAUUCGUGUAUUGAAGCCCUGAACCCCAGGUGACAACAUUUGGAGGUGGAGCCUUUGGGAGGUGGUUAAGUUUAGACAAGGUCAUGAGGGUGGGGCUCCGGUCCCAUGUGGUUAGCGCCCUUACUGGAGAGACCCUAAGAACUCGCUCUCUCUGCCACGUGAGGAUACAGGAAGAGGCCACCGUCUGCAGGCCAGAGGAGAGCUCUCACCAGAAACUGGGCCCACUGGCACCCUGAUCUUGGGCUUUCAGCCUCCAGAACCAUGAGGGGGAGCAGGCACCCACCCCUGCGACAGGUCAGGGGCGCACCCCCAGAUGACUUCCUGCCGAGUGCUUUUCCCCUCUGUCUGUGCCAACCCUCGGGGUCCCAGCCCGCCCAGCCUUCUCCUCCGGCCAGCCCUGGAGCAAACCCACCAGGCCCUGUCCUCAGACGGAGGUUCCAGGAAGACAUUCCUCAAGAGGGAAACGCUGCACGGUGUUUGACAUGUGUGAUUACAAGCUUACAGAACCUGCUUACGUUGCUGCCGUUAUUGCCGCUCUCUUUAGGAACAGCUACUCAUUAGAACCAAACAGAAGCUUUCUUUCGAGAGA
Long non-coding RNA from Equus quagga, 1502 nucleotides. RefSeq lists it as uncharacterized. Lineage: Eukaryota; Metazoa; Chordata; Mammalia; Perissodactyla; Equidae. The record is from RefSeq and is a predicted model, not a curated record. The transcript has 3 exons.